UACAGAGGAGCCAAGCGUUGUCCGGAUUUACUGGGCGUAAAGAGCGCGCAGGCGGUGCGAUCAGUCGAAUGUGAAAGCCCCCGGCUCAACUGGGGAGGGUCAUUCGAUACUGUCGGACUCGAAGGCAGGAGAGGGAAGCGGAAUUCCCGGUGUAGUGGUGAAAUGCGUAGAUAUCGGGAGGAACACCAGUGGCGAAGGCGGCUUCCUGGCCUGUUCUUGACGCUGAGGCGCGAAAGCUAGGGGAGCAAACGGG
RNAcentral lists this ribosomal RNA (253 nucleotides) under uncultured bacterium. RNAcentral's name for it is "partial 16S ribosomal RNA". It matches the Rfam family "Bacterial small subunit ribosomal RNA", at positions 524 to 776 of the family's 1533-position model. The record is from RNAcentral.